AUGGUUCGAUCUCAGCCAGGUGCUUUGAAGUACAAGAGCAAGCUCGGCUUUGAAGGCCUCCCAAACCAGGCCUGGACGACGGCGUCCGUGAAAGAUGUUCUCAAGCAGCUGGGUGAUGAGCUGAUCGAGAUCCUGCCGCCGGCAAGCCGCCGCGAGCUUGAGGUCAUGGCGUGGCUUCGUGACCCUUCCUUUGUUGGCAAGGUGGUGACGGUGGAGAUACCUGAGUCGAAGCUGACAAACAAGCCACGAGUCCAUGGAUGA
RNAcentral lists this ribosomal RNA (261 nucleotides) under Triticum aestivum (bread wheat). Its description in RNAcentral is "partial small subunit ribosomal RNA". The record is from RNAcentral. Lineage: Eukaryota; Viridiplantae; Streptophyta; Magnoliopsida; Poales; Poaceae.